GUACACACUUGAUUGUAUUGAGCCUUGGUAUGGAAACCUGCUAAGUGGUAACUUCCAAAUUCAGAGAAACCCUGGAAUUAAAAAAGGGCAAUCCUUAGCCAAAUCCAUGUUUUGAGAAAAUAAGUGGUUCUCAAACUAGAAUACAAAGUAAAAGGAUAGGUGCAGAGACUCAAUGGAAGUUGUUCUAACAAAUCGAGUUAAUUACGUUGUGUUUUUAGUGGAAUUCCUUCUAAUUCUAAAAUAGAGAAAGAGGGG
Triticum urartu is the source of this 255-nucleotide non-coding RNA. The record is from Rfam. Lineage: Eukaryota; Viridiplantae; Streptophyta; Magnoliopsida; Poales; Poaceae.